GAUGAAGAACGUAGCGAAAUGCGAUACGUAGUGUGAAUUGCAGAAUUCAGUGAAUCAUCGAAUCUUUGAACGCACAUUGCACCUCUCGGUAUUCCGGGAGGUAUGCCUGUUCGAGCGUCAUUUGUACCCUCAAGCUCUGCUUGGUGUUGGGUGUUUGUUCCGCCUCUGUGUGUGAACUCGCCUCAAAACAAUUGGCAGCCGGCGUACUUGUUUCGGAGCGCAGCACAUUUUGCGAUCCAGAUCAACGUACAGCGGCAUCCAAGAAGCCUUAUUUAACGCUCUUGACCUCGGAUCAGGUAGGGAUACCAGCUGAACUUAAGCUUAUCAAUAAGCGGAGGA
RNAcentral lists this unclassified non-coding RNA (339 nucleotides) under soil metagenome. RNAcentral describes it as "partial contains 5.8S ribosomal RNA, internal transcribed spacer 2, and large subunit ribosomal RNA". The stretch from base 1 to 120 matches the Rfam family "5.8S ribosomal RNA", at positions 35 to 154 of the family's 154-position model. The record is from RNAcentral.